Molecule: long non-coding RNA, 458 nt
Organism: Amphiprion ocellaris (clown anemonefish)
Lineage: Eukaryota; Metazoa; Chordata; Actinopteri; Pomacentridae
Source: Ensembl
CUUUUUUUUGCGCCAAAAUUCAUGAUUUUUUUUUCAAAGAAAACCUUUCUGGAGUGUUUUUCACGGCCUCCUUUACAUUAUUUCAUCAUAUGGCACGUUUUUACAACAUGUUUGAAAAAUCGCAUUUUUUUUUCGACAUAGUAUAGUAAGGCGUUUUUUUUGCGCCAAAAUUCAUGAUGAUUUUUUUUUCAAAGAAAACCUUUCUGGAGUUGUUUUUCACGGCCUCCUUUACAUUAUUUCAUCAUAUGGCACGUUUUUACAACAUGUUUGAAAAAUCACAUUUUUUUUCUCGACAUAGUAUAGUAAGGCGCGUUUUUUUAGGCCAAAAUUCAUGAUGAUUUUUUUUUUCCAAAGAAAACCUUUCUGGAGUGUUUUUCACGGCCUCCUUUACAUUAUUUCAUCAUAUGGCACGUUUUUACAACAUGUUUGAAAAAUCACAUUUUUUUUCGACAUAGUAU